AUGGGGGCGGGGGUAUCCCAGGCCAGCCUGGCCCCAAGAGGCCACCAAGAAGCCCACGCUUGUGCCUUCCCCCCCUCAGGUGACCAGUGGGGUCAAGCCCUGGCUGUACGAGGGGCCUCUACCCCUGCCCCCCGCACGGCCGCCCCCUGCCCAGGCAGCCCCCAUCCACACACACACAUACCCCGGUUCCCACCAGGUGCCUGCCAGCUACUACCAGCCCACCCCCAACCGAGGCCUUCCCAGGGCCCACUGCCCAGGCUCAGGCCCUCCCCAGGACCCUGGCCGGACCCCCAGAGCCCUCCUCAGCCACCCGGCUGGUCCACCCUAUGGCUCCUCAGCGCACCUACUGCAGCCUCCGCCAGCGGCUGUGAUUCACACCUGCCACCUGGCCUUGUCCCUUGUCCCUUGUCCCUGCCUGCCCUCCAUCCUGCUGACCUUCCCCUCCCGCCUCUCCCGACCCCACUGCACGAACCUCUCCUCGCCCCAGCAGCCCUGCCUCCACUUCCCGGCCACGUCCUCCUGGGACCACCCAGCAGUCUGGGUCCCUGGAGGGCAGGGCCACGUCCCCUUCAGAUCUCCCCAAGGAAGGGUGCAUUUCAGAGGGUCGGUGCACACAAGUGGACCGCGAGGCCCGACAAGAGGACAGGACAGCUCGGGUGGACCAGGUCGGCAGGUCAGACAGGACCACCUGCGUUCAUCGCCCACCACCCGGCGUGCGUGGGAACCCAGCAGGGACACAGCCCGGUGGCUCACUCGUGCCGCAAGGCGGAUGUCCAGACCAGGUGCCUGUGCCAAGGCGGUGGGGACCCGAGGCCCUGCCCCGCCAUGCCCACCCCUGGGCCCGGGAGGACUCGGCCCAGCCUGGAGGUCAGACCACAAAGCUCUCGCGCUGUCCUGGCACCUGUCUUGGAGGGGACAGGGAGGGGCUCAUCUUGUGUCCCAAACUGCACCCUUGCUGAUGGGCGGGUCCCAGGCUUCACCGCUCCCUAUAGGGCCCCAACCCCCCACCCC
This 1011-nucleotide long non-coding RNA is filed under the name Canis lupus familiaris (dog). RNAcentral describes it as "lncRNA (ENSCAFG00000046086.2, ENSCAFG00805006484.1, ENSCAFG00845013269.1)". Lineage: Eukaryota; Metazoa; Chordata; Mammalia; Carnivora; Canidae. The record is from RNAcentral.